CCUACGGGAGGCAGCAGUGGGGAAUUUUGGACAAUGGGCGCAAGCCUGAUCCAGCAAUGCCGCGUGCAGGAUGAAGGCCUUCGGGUUGUAAACUGCUUUUGUACGGAACGAAAAAGUCUGCCCUAAUACGGUGGGCCCAUGACGGUACCGUAAGAAUAAGCACCGGCUAACUACGUGCCAGCAGCCGCGGUAAUACGUAGGGUGCGAGCGUUAAUCGGAAUUACUGGGCGUAAAGCGUGCGCAGGCGGUUAUAUAAGACAGAUGUGAAAUCCCCGGGCUCAACCUGGGACCUGCAUUUGUGACUGUAUAGCUAGAGUACGGUAGAGGGGGAUGGAAUUCCGCGUGUAGCAGUGAAAUGCGUAGAUAUGCGGAGGAACACCGAUGGCGAAGGCAAUCCCCUGGACCUGUACUGACGCUCAUGCACGAAAGCGUGGGGAGCAAACAGGAUUAGAUACCCUGGUAGUCCACGCCCUAAACGAUGUCAACUGGUUGUUGGGUCUUCACUGACUCAGUAACGAAGCUAACGCGUGAAGUUGACCGCCUGGGGAGGUAACGGUCGCGAGUUAGUAACGUUACGAAUAGAGUUAGACGGCGNGAGACGNGCCGACGGACGACGACGAGGGAGGAGG
Molecule: ribosomal RNA, 629 nt
Filed under: uncultured bacterium
Lineage: Bacteria
Description: bacterial SSU rRNA
Rfam family: Bacterial small subunit ribosomal RNA (bases 1-542)
Source: RNAcentral